This 1176-nucleotide ribosomal RNA is filed under the name Salmonella enterica. RNAcentral's name for it is "partial 23S ribosomal RNA". It matches the Rfam family "Bacterial large subunit ribosomal RNA", at positions 1757 to 2925 of the family's 2925-position model. Lineage: Bacteria; Pseudomonadati; Pseudomonadota; Gammaproteobacteria; Enterobacterales; Enterobacteriaceae. RNAcentral also lists the same sequence under 1 other name. The record is from RNAcentral.
UUACCCAUGGAGCUGAAGUCAGUCGAAGAUACCAGCUGGCUGCAACUGUUUAUUAAAAACACAGCACUGUGCAAACACGAAAGUGGACGUAUACGGUGUGACGCCUGCCCGGUGCCGGAAGGUUAAUUGAUGGGGUCAGCGCAAGCGAAGCUCCUGAUCGAAGCCCCGGUAAACGGCGGCCGUAACUAUAACGGUCCUAAGGUAGCGAAAUUCCUUGUCGGGUAAGUUCCGACCUGCACGAAUGGCGUAAUGAUGGCCAGGCUGUCUCCACCCGGGACUCAGUGAAAUUGAACUCGCUGUGAAGAUGCAGUGUACCCGCGGCAAGACGGAAAGACCCCGUGAACCUUUACUAUAGCUUGACACUGAACACUGGUCCUUGAUGUGCAGGAUAGGUGGGAGGCUUUGAAGUGUGGACGCCAGUCUGCAUGGAGCCAUCCUUGAAAUACCACCCUUUAAUGGCUGGUGUUCUAACGUGGGCCCGUGAACCGGGUUGCGGACAGUGUCUGGUGGGUAGUUUGACUGGGGCGGUCUCCUCCUAAAGAGUAACGGAGGAGCACGAAGGUUGGCUAAUCCUGGUCGGACAUCAGGAGGUUAGUGCAAUGGCAUAAGCCAGCUUGACUGCGAGCGUGACGGCGCGAGCAGGUGCGAAAGCAGGUCAUAGUGAUCCGGUGGUUCUGAAUGGAAGGGCCAUCGCUCAACGGAUAAAAGGUACUCCGGGGAUAACAGGCUGAUACCGCCCAAGAGUUCAUAUCGACGGCGGUGUUUGGCACCUCGAUGUCGGCUCAUCACAUCCUGGGGCUGAAGUAGGUCCCAAGGGUAUGGCUGUUCGCCAUUUAAAGUGGUACGCGAGCUGGGUUUAGAACGUCGUGAGACAGUUCGGUCCCUAUCUGCCGUGGGCGCUGGAAGAUUGAGGGGGGCUGCUCCUAGUACGAGAGGACCGGAGUGGACGCAUCACUGGUGUUCGGGUUGUCAUGCCAAUGGCACUGCCCGGUAGCUACAUGCGGAAGAGAUAAGUGCUGAAAGCAUCUAAGCACGAAACUUGCCCCGAGAUGAAUCUUCCCUGAGCCUUUAAGGCUCCUGAAGGAACGUUGAAGACGACGACGUUGAUAGGCCGGGUGUGUAAGCGCAGCGAUGCGUUGAGCUAACCGGUACUAAUGAACCGUGAGGCUUAACCUU